CCCUUAGAUGUUCUGGGCCGCACGCGCGCUACACUGAUGCAUUCAACGAGUCUAAAACCUGCUCUGAUAGGGGUGCGUAAUCUUUUGAAUGUGCAUCGUGAUUGGGAUAGAUGAUUGCAAUUUUUCAUCUUCAACGAGGAAUGCCUAGUAAACGCAAGUCAUCAGCUUGCAUUGAUUACGUCCCUGCCCUUUGUACACACCGCCCGUCGCUCCUACCGAUUGAAUGAUCCGAUGAAUAUCAUGGAUUGAGGAUGCAAGUAGGUUCGCCUAUCUUCAUCUUCGAGAAGUGAAGUAAAUCUUAUCAUUUAGAGGAAGGAGAAGUCGUAACA
This 329-nucleotide ribosomal RNA is filed under the name uncultured eukaryote. Its description in RNAcentral is "partial 18S ribosomal RNA". It matches the Rfam family "Eukaryotic small subunit ribosomal RNA", at positions 1470 to 1796 of the family's 1831-position model. The record is from RNAcentral.